This is a non-coding RNA of Salmo salar (Atlantic salmon), 536 nucleotides long. The record is from RefSeq and is a predicted model, not a curated record. NCBI's taxonomy places the organism in Eukaryota, Metazoa, Chordata, Actinopteri, Salmoniformes, Salmonidae.
AUUGUUCUGUUCUACAGUGUCUGUUUUACUGUAUUGUUAUUUUAUAUUAUUUUCUAUUCUCAGUUCACUUGUCCUUUACGCCUGUCCUUUCUGCCUCCAUACUUUUCAUUGAAGCAACAAUAAUUUCCUGAAGUAAUGAGGGGAGGAAGCAUGAUGUUGAUAACAGACCCGGGUCCAAACUACAAAGGUCGUCCAGCGCGACACCUCCUGCUCGGUCCCGCGGAGCUUCAACUAAACUUUCCGUUCAAACUGUUGAAUUUUCCUCCAGGAUUUCUGUUGGGUAAAAACCAGGUGUGAAUAGCUCUGUAAUGUGAUGAAGCAGAGAGGAGGAGGAGGAGGAUAAGAAAGAGAGGAUGAAGGUGAAUUCUCACCACCUAACCUCCCUGUCUAAGGGCCCUGCUAGCAGCUUCGACAGAGAGGGGAGACUGCGGGUGGGGCGGGAGACACAGGGUGGACAAGGGAGACCACAGGGCAUGUGUGAGAGAUGGUGUCGUUUGAGAGGAAACCUCCUCUUCAUCAUGAAGACACCUCAACAG